GGUUAAGCUACUAAGAGCACACGGAGGAUGCCUAGGCGCUAGGAGCCGAAGAAGGACGUGGCGAACAACGAUAAGGCCUCGGGGAGCUGUAAGCAAGCUUUGAUCCGGGGAUGUCCGAAUGGGGAAACCCGGCUGGUGUAAUAGCCAGUCACUCAUUACUGAAUACAUAGGUAAUGAAGAGGCAGACCAGGGGAACUGAAACAUCUAAGUACCUUGAGGAAGAGAAAACAAGUAGUGAUUCCGUCAGUAGCGGCGAGCGAACGCGGAAGAGCCUAAACCAAGAGGCUUGCCUCUUGGGGUUGUGGGACGUCUCACAUGGAGUUACAAAGGAAUAGGGUAGGCGAAGAGGUCUGGAAAGACCCGCUAGAAGAGGUAAAAGCCCUGUAACCGAAAGUCUAUUCCCUCCGAGACGGAUCCCGAGUAGUGCGGGGCACGUGAAACCCCGUAUGAAUCUGCCAGGACCAUCUGGUAAGGCUAAAUACUCCCUAGUGACCGAUAGUGAAGCAGUACCGUGAGGGAAAGGUGAAAAGCACCCCGGAAGGGGAGUGAAAGAGAACCUGAAACCGUGUGCUUACAAGAAGUCAGAGCCUAAUUAAUGGGUGAUGGCGUGCCUUUUGUAGAAUGAACCGGCGAGUUACGUUCCCGUGCAAGGUUAAGGUGAGAAGCCGUAGCCGUAGCGAAAGCGAGUCUGAAUAGGGCGAUUAUAGUACGUGGGCGUAGACCCGAAACCGUGUGAUCUACCCCUGUCCAGGGUGAAGGUGCGGUAACACGCACUGGAGGCCCGAACCCACGAACGUUGAAAAGUUCGGGGAUGAGGUGGGGGUAGCGGAGAAAUUCCAAUCGAACUCGGAGAUAGCUGGUUCUCCCCGAAAUAGCUUUAGGGCUAGCCUCGGUGGUACAGUCGUGGAGGUAGAGCACUGAUUGGGUGCGGGGCCCGCAAGGGUUACCAAGCUCAGUCAAACUCCGAAUGCCAUAGACUGAUUAACCGGGAGUCAGACAGUGAGUGCUAAGAUCCAUUGUCAAAAGGGAAACAGCCCAGACCAUCAGCUAAGGUCCCCAAGUGUGUGUUAAGUGGGAAAGGAUGUGGAGUUGCACAGACAACCAGGAUGUUGGCUUAGAAGCAGCCACCAUUUAAAGAGUGCGUAAUAGCUCACUGGUCGAGUGACUCUGCGCCGAAAAUGUAACGGGGCUAAACACACCACCGAAGCUAUGGCUUGAUGCUUGCAUCAGGGGUAGGGGAGCGUUGUGUAUGCGUUGAAGGUGUACCGUAAGGAGCGCUGGAGAGUACACAAGUGAGAAUGCCGGUAUGAGUAACGAAAAGAUCAGUGAGAAUCUGAUCCGCCGAAAGCCUAAGGGUUCCUGAGGAAGGUUCGUCCGCUCAGGGUAAGUCGGGACCUAAGGCGAGGCCGACAGGCGUAGUCGAAGGACAACAGGUGGAAAUUCCUGUACCACCGUAAACCGUUAUGAGCGAUGGGGUGACGCAGCAGGGUAGUGACGCGGACUGAUGGAUGUCCGUCCAAGCAGUGAGAGGGUAGCAUAGGCAAAUCCGUGCUACAUAACCUUGGGCUGUGAUGGGGAGCGAAAAUUGCAGUAGCGAAGGUCAUGAUCUCACACUGCCAAGAAAAGCCUCUAGCCAGGUGAAGGUGCCCGUACCGCAAACCGACACAGGUAGGCGAGAAGAGAAUUCUAAGGCGCGCGGAAGAACUCUCGUUAAGGAACUCGGCAAAAUGACCCCGUAACUUCGGGAGAAGGGGUGCCUCGGUAGGGUGAAUAGCCCGAGGGGGCCGCAGUGAAAAGGCCCAAGCGACUGUUUAGCAAAAACACAGGUCUGUGCGAAGCCGUAAGGCGAAGUAUACGGGCUGACGCCUGCCCGGUGCUGGAAGGUUAAGGGGAGUGGUUAGGGGUUAAACCCGAAGCUAUGAACUGAAGCCCCAGUAAACGGCGGCCGUAACUAUAACGGUCCUAAGGUAGCGAAAUUCCUUGUCAGGUAAAUUCUGACCCGCACGAAUGGCGUAACGACUUGGGCGCUGUCUCAACGAGAGAUCCGGUGAAAUUUUAAUACCUGUGAAGAUGCAGGUUACCCGCGACAAGACGGAAAGACCCCAUGGAGCUUUACUGCAGCUUGAUAUUGGACUUUGAUACGAUUUGUACAGGAUAGGUGGGAGCCUAGGAAGAGGGAGCGCAAGCUUCCUUGGAGGCGCCGUUGGGAUACCACCCUGAUCGUAUCGGAGUUCUAACCUGGUACCGUGAACCGGUAUGGGGACAGUGUCAGGUGGGCAGUUUGACUGGGGCGGUCGCCUCCUAAAGAGUAACGGAGGCGCCCCAAGGUUCCCUCAGAAUGGUUGGAAAUCAUUCGAAGAGUGCAAAGGCAAAAGGGAGCUUGACUGCGAGACUGACAAGUCGAGCAGGGACGAAAGUCGGGCUUAGUGAUCCGGUGGUACCGCAUGGAAGGGCCAUCGCUCAACGGAUAAAAGCUACCCUGGGGAUAACAGGCUUAUCUCCCCCAAGAGUCCACAUCGACGGGGAGGUUUGGCACCUCGAUGUCGGCUCAUCGCAUCCUGGGGCUGAAGUAGGUCCCAAGGGUUGGGCUGUUCGCCCAUUAAAGCGGUACGCGAGCUGGGUUCAGAACGUCGUGAGACAGUUCGGUCCCUAUCUGUCGUGGGCGUAGGAAAUUUGAGAGGAGCUGUCCUUAGUACGAGAGGACCGGGAUGGACGCACCGCUGGUGCACCAGUUGUUCCGCCAGGAGCACAGCUGGGUAGCUAAGUGCGGAAGGGAUAAGCGCUGAAAGCAUCUAAGCGUGAAGCCUCCCUCAAGAUGAGAUUUCCCAAUUAGUAAGACCCCUUGAAGACGACGAGGUAGAUAGGCUGGGGGUGGAAGUGCAGCAAUGCAUGGAGCUGACCAGUACUAAUCGGUCGAGGGCUUAUCCAA
Molecule: ribosomal RNA, 2929 nt
Filed under: Paenibacillus yonginensis
Lineage: Bacteria; Bacillati; Bacillota; Bacilli; Caryophanales; Paenibacillaceae
Description: Bacterial large subunit ribosomal RNA
Rfam family: Bacterial large subunit ribosomal RNA
Source: Rfam by way of RNAcentral